UACGUAGGGUCCGAGCGUUGUCCGGAAUUAUUGGGCGUAAAGGGCGCGUAGGCGGCCAGCACAAGUCAGUUGUGAAAUCUCCGGGCUUAACUCGGAAAGGUCAACUGAUACUGUGCGGCUAGAGUGCAGAAGGGGCAACUGGAAUUCUCGGUGUAGCGGUGAAAUGCGUAGAUAUCGAGAGGAACACCUGCGGCGAAGGCGGGUUGCCUGGGCUGACACUGACGCUGAUGCGCGAAAGCCAGGGGAGCGAACGGG
This 255-nucleotide ribosomal RNA is filed under the name uncultured bacterium. RNAcentral describes it as "partial 16S ribosomal RNA". It matches the Rfam family "Bacterial small subunit ribosomal RNA", at positions 524 to 776 of the family's 1533-position model. The record is from RNAcentral.